ACUAAGGUGGUUCAGUAGUAGAAUUCUCACCUUUCACAUGAGAGACCCAGGUUUCAUUCCUGACCAGUA
RNAcentral lists this transfer RNA (69 nucleotides) under Loxodonta africana (African savanna elephant). It matches the Rfam family "tRNA". Rfam says of the family: Transfer RNA (tRNA) molecules are approximately 80 nucleotides in length. Their secondary structure includes four short double-helical elements and three loops (D, anti-codon, and T loops). The record is from Rfam by way of RNAcentral. Lineage: Eukaryota; Metazoa; Chordata; Mammalia; Proboscidea; Elephantidae.